Molecule: ribosomal RNA, 660 nt
Filed under: Ralstonia sp. TRP10:4-2
Lineage: Bacteria; Pseudomonadati; Pseudomonadota; Betaproteobacteria; Burkholderiales; Burkholderiaceae
Description: bacterial SSU rRNA
Rfam family: Bacterial small subunit ribosomal RNA
Source: RNAcentral
GAACGGCAGCAUGAUCUAGCUUGCUAGAUUGAUGGCGAGUGGCGAACGGGUGAGUAAUACAUCGGAACGUGCCCUGUAGUGGGGGAUAACUAGUCGAAAGAUUAGCUAAUACCGCAUACGACCUGAGGGUGAAAGUGGGGGACCGCAAGGCCUCAUGCUAUAGGAGCGGCCGAUGUCUGAUUAGCUAGUUGGUGAGGUAAAGGCUCACCAAGGCGACGAUCAGUAGCUGGUCUGAGAGGACGAUCAGCCACACUGGGACUGAGACACGGCCCAGACUCCUACGGGAGGCAGCAGUGGGGAAUUUUGGACAAUGGGGGCAACCCUGAUCCAGCAAUGCCGCGUGUGUGAAGAAGGCCUUCGGGUUGUAAAGCACUUUUGUCCGGAAAGAAAUCGCACUUACUAAUAUUAGGUGUGGAUGACGGUACCGGAAGAAUAAGGACCGGCUAACUACGUGCCAGCAGCCGCGGUAAUACGUAGGGUCCAAGCGUUAAUCGGAAUUACUGGGCGUAAAGCGUGCGCAGGCGGUUGUGCAAGACCGAUGUGAAAUCCCCGGGCUUAACCUGGGAAUUGCAUUGGUGACUGCACGGCUAGAGUGUGUCAGAGGGGGGUAGAAUUCCACGUGUAGCAGUGAAAUGCGUAGAGAUGUGGAGGAAUACCGAU